This 461-nucleotide ribosomal RNA is filed under the name uncultured bacterium. RNAcentral describes it as "bacterial SSU rRNA". It matches the Rfam family "Bacterial small subunit ribosomal RNA", at positions 377 to 830 of the family's 1533-position model. The record is from RNAcentral.
GAAAGCCUGAUCCAGCCAUGCCGCGUGAGUGAUGAAGGUCUUCGGAUCGUAAAGCUCUGUGGGAAGGGACGAAAAAGCCUAACCUAAUACGUUAGGUCUUGACGGUACCUUCUUAGCAAGCACCGGCUAACUCCGUGCCAGCAGCCGCGGUAAUACGGAGGGUGCAAACGUCGCUCGGAAUUAUUGGGCGUAAAGCGCACGUAGGCGGUCCGCUAAGUCGGAUGUGAAAGCCCUCGGCUUAACCGAGGAAGUGCAUCCGAAACUGACGGGCUAGAGUACGGAAGAGGGUUUCGGAAUUCCCGGUGUAGAGGUGAAAUUCGUAGAUAUCGGGAGGAACACCAGUGGCGAAGGCGGAAACCUGGGCCGAUACUGACGCUGAGGUGCGAAAGCGUGGGGAGCGAAACAGGAUUAGAUACCCUGGUAGUCCACGCCGUAAACGAUGAGCGCUAGGUGUUGGGGUA